Molecule: ribosomal RNA, 610 nt
Filed under: uncultured bacterium
Lineage: Bacteria
Description: bacterial SSU rRNA
Rfam family: Bacterial small subunit ribosomal RNA
Source: RNAcentral
CGGUAACAGGCCGCUGUGAUCCCUUCGGGGUGAACUUGGCGCUGACGAGUGGCGGACGGGUGAGUAAUGCAUAGGAAUCUGCCCAGUAGUGGGGGACAACUUGGAGAAAUCCAGGCUAAUACCGCAUAUGUCCUACGGGACAAAGCAGGGGACCUUCGGGCCUUGCGCUACUGGAUGAGCCUAUGUCGGAUUAGCUAGUUGGUAGGGUAAAAGCCUACCAAGGCAACGAUCCGUAGCUGGUCUGAGAGGAUGAUCAGCCACACUGGGACUGAGACACGGCCCAGACUCCUACGGGAGGCAGCAGUGGGGAAUAUUGCACAAUGGGCGCAAGCCUGAUGCAGCAAUGCCGCGUGUGUGAAGAAGGCCUGCGGGUUGUAAAGCACUUUUAUUAGGAAAGAAAAACACGGAGUUAAUACCUCCGGACUUGACGGUACCUAAAGAAUAAGCACCGGCUAACUAAGUGCCAGCAGCCGCGGUAAUACUUAGGGUGCGAGCGUUAAUCGGAAUUACUGGGCGUAAAGCGAGUGUAGGCGGCUGCGUAAGUCGGAUGUGAAAGCCCUGGGCUUAACCUGGGAACUGCAUUCGAAACUGCGUAGCUAGAGUUUGGUAG